RNAcentral lists this ribosomal RNA (331 nucleotides) under uncultured bacterium. RNAcentral describes it as "bacterial SSU rRNA". It matches the Rfam family "Bacterial small subunit ribosomal RNA", at positions 568 to 898 of the family's 1533-position model. The record is from RNAcentral.
CGCGUAGGUGGUUGCGUCAGUCGGAUGUGAAAUCCCCAGGCUUAACCUGGGGACUGCAUCCGAUACUGCGUGACUCGAGUGCAGCAGAGGGAAACGGAAUUCCUGGUGUAGAGGUGAAAUUCGUAGAUAUCAGGAGGAACACCGGUGGCGAAGGCGGUUUCCUGGGCUGACACUGACACUGAGGCGCGAAAGCGUGGGUAGCAAACAGGAUUAGAUACCCUGGUAGUCCACGCUGUAAACGGUGAGUGCUGGGUGUGGGAGGUGUAAUGCCUUCUGUGCCGAAGCUAACGCGUUAAGCACUCCGCCUGGGGAGUACGGCCGCAAGGUUGAA